GGCCGCCUGGCGAAAUGGCAUCGCGUCUGACUACGAUUAUAUUUAGCGCAUUUUCGAAUCAGGAGAUUGCAGGUUCGAGACCUGCGGUGGUCA
Molecule: non-coding RNA, 93 nt
Organism: Mycena floridula
Lineage: Eukaryota; Fungi; Basidiomycota; Agaricomycetes; Agaricales; Mycenaceae
Source: the annotation of a GenBank genome assembly